This 253-nucleotide ribosomal RNA is filed under the name uncultured bacterium. RNAcentral's name for it is "partial 16S ribosomal RNA". It matches the Rfam family "Bacterial small subunit ribosomal RNA", at positions 524 to 776 of the family's 1533-position model. The record is from RNAcentral.
UACGUAGGGGGCAAGCGUUAUCCGGAUUUACUGGGUGUAAAGGGAGCGUAGACGGCCAGACAAGUCUGAAGUGAAAAUCCAGCGCUUAACGUUGGAAGUGCUUUGGAAACUGCCGGGCUGGAGUGCAGGAGGGGCAGGCGGAAUUCCUAGUGUAGCGGUGAAAUGCGUAGAUAUUAGGAGGAACACCAGUGGCGAAAGCGGCUCUCUGGCCUGUAACUGACACUGAGGCUCGAAAGCGUGGGGAGCAAACAGG